CCUACGGGGGGCAGCAGUGGGGAAUAUUGCACAAUGGGCGCAAGCCUGAUGCAGCCAUGCCGCGUGUGUGAAGAAGGCCUUCGGGUUGUAAAGCACUUUCAGUCGUGAGGAAGGUAGUGUAGUUAAUAGCUGCAUUAUUUGACGUUAGCGACAGAAGAAGCACCGGCUAACUCCGUGCCAGCAGCCGCGGUAAUACGGAGGGUGCGAGCGUUAAUCGGAAUUACUGGGCGUAAAGCGCAUGCAGGUGGUUUGUUAAGUCAGAUGUGAAAGCCCGGGGCUCAACCUCGGAAUUGCAUUUGAAACUGGCAGACUAGAGUACUGUAGAGGGGGGUAGAAUUUCAGGUGUAGCGGUGAAAUGCGUAGAGAUCUGAAGGAAUACCGGUGGCGAAGGCGGCCCCCUGGACAGAUACUGACACUCAGAUGCGAAAGCGUGGGGAGCAAACAGGAUUAGAUACCCCAGUAGUC
This 465-nucleotide ribosomal RNA is filed under the name uncultured bacterium. RNAcentral's name for it is "bacterial SSU rRNA". It matches the Rfam family "Bacterial small subunit ribosomal RNA", at positions 338 to 795 of the family's 1533-position model. The record is from RNAcentral.